Molecule: unclassified non-coding RNA, 140 nt
Filed under: uncultured Basidiomycota
Lineage: Eukaryota; Fungi; Basidiomycota
Description: sequence contains ITS2
Source: RNAcentral
UUCAUCCACUAUUCUGAUUGGUGCCUUUGCUGUGCACCCUCAGGACAUGGGCACUCAUCGGUGAUGCCCCGAAUGCGCACGUGCAUGGUCGUGAUAGGAUGUAUCUCGUUGAUCGACCAAUCGGCACACACUAUUCUUGU